UAGUCUUGAGUGGUAGUAGAUUGAACUUUGAUAUACUAGGGCUGGCAGAGUUUGGGGAUAGUGGCCUAGCCCCACCAUACCAGUGAUAAAUCAAUCCUUGUCUUCAGUCACCCUUUGGGGGACUGAUGGAGGACCAAUAACAUGCCUUAUUUCCUUCCUGGGAAGUGCCAGACAGGAUCUCCUAGUACCUAUUGUGGAUAACUGGGGUUCGUCGACUGCUCCUCACCCCUUGUAUGUCUUAUAGAAGAAUGAUAUAGGGUGAAGUUAGAAUUUUAGGUCUUCUAAGGUUAGAAGUGGCUCUUGAUACCUGCCUGCCCACAAGCCAUACCAAAUAAUUGCUAGCACCCUCAAAAAUCUGUUUUGGAAACUCAUUUCUUUUGGCCCCUAUACCCUUAGAGCUCUGUCCCUAAGCCUAUGACGUCACCUCAGUAGUCUAUACACUUGUGUGUACACGACUGUGCAUCUGACAUCUGCCUGAUCUUUGCCUGGAUGCAUUUUAAGCACUCAGGUAUUUUUAGUUGUCUAGAUAGUGGUGUGUGUUUACCUAUGACUGUUUUUACUACCUACUAAUAGAUCUUUUACAGACCUUUGUCUCUAAAGAGUUCACAGCCCUUUGCUCAUUGUCUGGUUUCAUGAACAAAGACUUACAGAGAAGAGAGCAGGCCAUGCAAUCUCCCCUUCAGGCUGAGAAAAGCAGCGUGGAGAAGCGGCGUGUGGGAGUAUGGCUCUGUGCUGAAUGGAGAAGAGAGAGCAAUCUCCUAGCUGAAGGAAUAUUCAAGGCCUUUGCCCUGCUCCCCUGUUCUAAGCCCAGGACUUUUCUGCCUAGCUCUUUAGGGAGUGGGGUUAGAGCAGAAUGUUGAAGCAGACCGAUCCUCCCAUUUGCAUUAUCCCCCAUCUGCAUCAUCCCCCUGCAUUGGGCCUCUCAGGGAUGAGGCUCCAUGGUGACCAUCUGCUGUUGUCCUCCCUGCCCUGUUCUGGGGAGGGCUGAGAAUGGGGCCUGUCCCCUUUCAGCAAUGCAGCUUUAGGGCCUGAUGGGGUGGAGGGCACGCCAUCCUUGGCCCGUUGCCGGGGUGACCGAGCUAUGGGCAUUGUGAGCAACUCCUCUGACAGGAUUAGGGCUAUUCCGCAUUCUUGUCAGAUGGGGAGCACAAACCGAAAAGAGCCUGCUGUCCAGAGAGCUGAAGCUAUUGUCUACCUCCGGAGCCUGUGAAAGGGUGGAUUAGAGGCCCCACCCCUUGAGCGGGGGUUUCCUUUCUGUCUCCUUUUGAAUCCAGAGGGGAGGCCAGCCCUCCUGGGAAAUUGAAUGAGGAGCUGUUUACCUCAGGCUGGGCCUUCAUAUUUCUUAUUACUUGUCUGAAGAGGAAGUCCUGUGUUUACCAUUCUGUUGGUGUCCAUGGCCAGAACUUGCCAGGAACUGACUGACCUGGGACACCCAAUCUUCACCUGAGGGCCACUGGCUUCUGUACAGCUCACUUCACAGACCAGACCAGAAAAGGCCCCCCCCCCCAGACUACUUAGUUCAAUCUGUUUAUUUCACGGAAAGGCAGCUGAGGCACUGAGAAGGGUAGGACUUACCCACAACCACUGGGAUAGAACCGGAGAACCAGGCGUUGUGGGUCCUGGCUCUAUGGUUUCCAUUCUCUCCAUUCUAGAGAAAGCCAUGGACCAGAAAGACGGACACUCUUAAGUGUAGCUCCUCUGUUUCCUCUGUACCCACCCUUCCUGAGCCCGAUACACACCAGCUAGGGGUCUUAAUCCUUUUCCACCUUUAAGACCCUUUAAGUCUGUAAUCCCCAGAGGACUGUCUGUCUACAUGUUUGCUUGUUGUUGGACAUUCCUUACCUGGACUUUGAAGAUUGCUCACUGGAGGGUGGUUUUUGUUUUUGUUUUUGUUUUGUUUUGAUGAUCUUUUUUCUUAUGGCAAAUAACUUGCCAGCAGUUUAAACAGAUCCACAUUGUUGUAAAUCAUUCUAAUACAAAAUAAAAUGCUUUUAUUUGUUGUGUAUGUCUGUCUUCUCGGGAUGUAUGUUUGUACAUUUGCUCAGGGCGUCUGGUCCCUUGGAACUGGAGUUACAGACAGUUUUAAGCUACCAUGUGGGUGCUGGGACCCAAACUCAGGUACUUUGGAAGAACAGCCAGUGCUCUUAACUGCUGAGACUUCUCUUUUUCAGCCCUCUAAAACCGUUUUAUCAUCCCAAGUAGAAGUGCUGUACCCAUUAAAUAACAACACCCCCAUGCCAUCUUUUGCCCUAUACCCCUGGUAACUUUUGAUCUAUUUUCUAUAGAGUUGUUUAUUUUAGUUCCUCAUAAAAGGGGGUGACAUAACAUCUGUCACUCUGUGACUAGCUUAUUUCACUGAGUAUGUUUUCAUGGUUUAGCCAUGUUAUAGUAGGUAUCAGAAUUCCAUUCCUUUUCUGACAGAUUGAUACCAAAUUUGUCUAUCUAUCACCUGUUGGUAGGCAUUUGGGUUGCUUUAAUGUUUGAUGAGUGAGUGGUUGUUUAUUGCAAAUUGUCGUUUGGGACAGAAGAACUAAACUCAAUCAGCUUGCCAGCUGUGCUAGUCAUUGACAAUGACUUUAAGGAAAGCAUUUAGUCUGCUGUGUUUCCAGUUUCUUUACCAGUGGCUGAGGGUGAGGAUACUUUCUUCUUCUCUUUCCAGAGCCCUUGUGAGGACCAGUAUAUUUAAUCAUAUAGUAAAUUGCUAUUCCCUGACUAAUGUGUGCCAGGUCCUCUACCUGGCAUCGACUGCUGAGCAGAUCGUCCUGAGCAAGUCAUCCCAGGUCCUUGUCCUUGGGGUGCACAUUGUCCUUGGGAUGCCCUGUGCAUAUUUGAUUUGUAAAUCCUGAAGCAUCUAGCCUCACACAGGUGCAGGCUGUUACGUUUCUUGUUCAUCUGUAGACUUUAAAAACGAGGUCAUUAGUCAUUGCUGCUUUGACUGCACUGGACUCAGGUGACAACCUUUGCUUGACAAGGUGAUCUUCAAAUUGCUGCCACCUGCCCUGGUGAAGGUGGGUGUCUUCUCUUAGUGCCUGCUGUAUUGCAGCUGCAGGCAGAGUUCCAGGACCAGGGCUCAUGGAGCAUCCUCAGAGAUGCCUCUACCUUGCUAGACCUUUCUCCUUAAUCUCCUGCAUCCUCUGUUCCCAGGUGGCCAUCAAGUCCAUCAGGAAAGACAAAAUCAAAGAUGAGCAGGAUCUGCUGCACAUACGGAGGGAGAUUGAGAUCAUGUCUUCACUCAACCACCCCCACAUCAUUGCCAUCCAUGAAGGUACAGUAGUGGAACACUUGGAGCUGGGAAACAGGCAGGACUCUGGGAGUGAGGGGGUGCACACAAGUCAGAUCUGCCAACACAAAGAAGUAGCAUGUGCCCAAUAGUGAUGCCUGUAACCCCAGCUCUAGGCUGCCUAAGAUAAGAGGAAUAUAAAUUUGAGAUCAUACAAAGGUGCAUAACAGGACCCCACCUUUUAAUAAAUACAUAACUUAAACAAAGCAAGUUCUCUU
This 3498-nucleotide long non-coding RNA is filed under the name Mus musculus (house mouse). RNAcentral's name for it is "long non-coding RNA chr1:132321808-132325306". The record is from RNAcentral. Lineage: Eukaryota; Metazoa; Chordata; Mammalia; Rodentia; Muridae.